RNAcentral lists this ribosomal RNA (203 nucleotides) under uncultured bacterium. Its description in RNAcentral is "partial 16S ribosomal RNA". It matches the Rfam family "Bacterial small subunit ribosomal RNA", at positions 151 to 353 of the family's 1533-position model. The record is from RNAcentral.
UCGAAAGAAAGAUUAAUACCCGAUAGUAUAAUGAUUCCGCAUGGUUUCAUUAUUAAAGGAUUCCGGUAAAGGAUGGGGAUGCGUUCCAUUAGGUUGUUGGUGAGGUAACGGCUCACCAAGCCUUCGAUGGAUAGGGGUUCUGAGAGGAAGGUCCCCCACAUUGGAACUGAGACACGGUCCAAACUCCUACGGGAGGCAGCAUG